AUUUUUAAACUAACAAUAAAUUGCUUUAAAAUGAAAUCAUUUCUGUGUGUUUUCGUAUUUCUGUCUGUUUUGCUGCUGACCGGAGCCAUUGCUGUACCCGUUAUGGAUCCGUUCUUACUCCAACCAGAUACGGACUAUGAAGAUGUGAAUGAAUGGAGCACAUUUUAAUUGCGCAAAAAGCCCCAACUACAUAGAUAUAAAAAACAAAUCUUUUGACACAUUGCUAUACUUUAAAAUUGAAUUCUUGAGAGGUGCCAAAAGCAUUAAAAUUAUGUGAAUUUAAUAUGUAACCCGUCCAACGACUUCACAAUAAAAUUAAUAUUUUCUGCCAUGGCAAAGAA
Drosophila obscura is the source of this 341-nucleotide long non-coding RNA. RefSeq lists it as uncharacterized. NCBI's taxonomy places the organism in Eukaryota, Metazoa, Arthropoda, Insecta, Diptera, Drosophilidae. The transcript has 2 exons. The record is from RefSeq and is a predicted model, not a curated record.